RNAcentral lists this ribosomal RNA (377 nucleotides) under uncultured bacterium. RNAcentral describes it as "bacterial SSU rRNA". It matches the Rfam family "Bacterial small subunit ribosomal RNA", at positions 790 to 1167 of the family's 1533-position model. The record is from RNAcentral.
GUAGUCCAUGCCGUAAACGUUGGGAACUAGGUGUGGGUCUCAUUCCACGAGAUCCGUGCCGCAGCUAACGCAUUAAGUUCCCCGCCUGGGGAGUACGGCCGCAAGGCUAAAACUCAAAGGAAUUGACGGGGGCCCGCACAAGCGGCGGAGCAUGCGGAUUAAUUCGAUGCAACGCGAAGAACCUUACCAAGGCUUGACAUACACCGGAAUCACUCAGAGAUGGGUGCGUCUUCGGACUGGUGUACAGGUGGUGCAUGGUUGUCGUCAGCUCGUGUCGUGAGAUGUUGGGUUAAGUCCCGCAACGAGCGCAACCCUCGUUCUAUGUUGCCAGCACGUCAUGGUGGGGACUCAUAGGAGACUGCCGGGGUCAACUCGGA